CAGCCGCCGCGGGAAUACGUAGGGUGCGAGCGUUAAUCGGAAUUACUGGGCGUAAAGCGUGCGCAGGCGGUUCGUUAAGACAGAUGUGAGAUCCCCGGGCUUAACCUGGGAACUGCAUUUGUGACUGGCGAGCUAGAGUAUGGCAGAGGGGGGUAGAAUUCCACGUGUAGCAGUGAAAUGCGUAGAGAUGUGGAGGAAUACCGAUGGCGAAGGCAGCCCCCUGGGCCAAUACUGACGCUCAUGCACGAAAGCGUGGGGAGCAAACAGGAUUAGAUACCCCAGUAGUCCCUGUCUCUUAUAC
Molecule: ribosomal RNA, 301 nt
Filed under: uncultured bacterium
Lineage: Bacteria
Description: partial 16S ribosomal RNA
Rfam family: Bacterial small subunit ribosomal RNA
Source: RNAcentral